UUUUCAUAAAAACCAGUGAAAAAACUACUAGCAUUGAAUCAAUACAAAGAUGAUUAGCAUGCCCUCUGUACAAGGAUAGCAUACAAAUAAAUGCAUGAUGUUUCCAUACUUU
This is a small nuclear RNA of Mus caroli (Ryukyu mouse), 112 nucleotides long. The record is from RefSeq and is a predicted model, not a curated record. NCBI's taxonomy places the organism in Eukaryota, Metazoa, Chordata, Mammalia, Rodentia, Muridae.